RNAcentral lists this transfer RNA (74 nucleotides) under Methanobrevibacter sp. RNAcentral describes it as "tRNA-Asp". It matches the Rfam family "tRNA". Rfam says of the family: Transfer RNA (tRNA) molecules are approximately 80 nucleotides in length. Their secondary structure includes four short double-helical elements and three loops (D, anti-codon, and T loops). The record is from RNAcentral. Lineage: Archaea; Methanobacteriati; Methanobacteriota; Methanobacteria; Methanobacteriales; Methanobacteriaceae.
AGUGCGUUAGUUCAGUUGGUUAGAAUGCCAGAUUGUCACUCUGGUGGUCACGGGUUCGAAUCCCGUACGCACUG